GACAUAGGUGGCAAACGUUAUCCGGAAUUAUUGGGCGUAAAGGGCGCGUAGGCGGCUUGAUAAGUCAAAGGUGAAAUCCCUCGGCUCAACUGAGGAAUUGCCUUUGAAACUGUCUGGCUCGAGGCCGGGAGGGGGUAGCGGAAUUCCCAGUGUAGCGGUGAAAUGCGUAGAUAUUGGGAGGAACACCGGUGGCGAAGGCGGCUACCUGGACCGGUUCUGACGCUUAUGCGCGAAAGCGUGGGGAGCAAACAGG
This 253-nucleotide ribosomal RNA is filed under the name uncultured bacterium. RNAcentral's name for it is "partial 16S ribosomal RNA". It matches the Rfam family "Bacterial small subunit ribosomal RNA", at positions 524 to 776 of the family's 1533-position model. The record is from RNAcentral.